GGGGGUAUAGCUCAGCUGGGAGAGCAGCAGACUGAAGUUGCCCGUUUCUUUCUAAUGUUCUGAAGGUCCCGCGUUCGAUCCGCGGUACCCCCA
Molecule: non-coding RNA, 93 nt
Organism: Paramarasmius palmivorus
Lineage: Eukaryota; Fungi; Basidiomycota; Agaricomycetes; Agaricales; Marasmiaceae
Source: the annotation of a GenBank genome assembly